AACGUAGGAGACAAACGUUAUCCUGAGUUACUGGGCGUAAAGGGCGUGUAGGCGGUUUGUUAAGUCUGGCGUGAAAGCUCUCGGCUAAACCGGGAGAGGUCGUUGGAUACUGGCAAACUAGAGGACGGUAGAGGCGUGUGGAAUUCCGGGUGUAGUGGUGAAAUGCGUAGAGAUCCGGAGGAACACCAGUGGCGAAGGCAGCCCCCUGGGUCAAAACUGACGCUCAUGCACGAAAGCGUGGGGAGCAAACAGG
This 253-nucleotide ribosomal RNA is filed under the name uncultured prokaryote. RNAcentral describes it as "partial 16S ribosomal RNA". It matches the Rfam family "Bacterial small subunit ribosomal RNA", at positions 524 to 776 of the family's 1533-position model. The record is from RNAcentral.